RNAcentral lists this ribosomal RNA (106 nucleotides) under Caerostris darwini. The record is from RNAcentral. Lineage: Eukaryota; Metazoa; Arthropoda; Arachnida; Araneae; Araneidae.
AACGGCCGUACCAUGCUGAAUAUAUCGGUUCUCGUUAGAUCACCGAAGUUAAGCAUCAUUGGGCAGUACUUGGUUGGGUGACCAACUGGGAACACUGCGUGCCGUU